GACCUGGUGGUGAAAUGUAUCACACCCAUUCCCCUUCCUGUUGAAAUGUUUUCGAUUUUAUGGGAGUUCCUGGUUCAAAUCCAGGUCAGGUCC
Mycena leptocephala is the source of this 93-nucleotide non-coding RNA. The record is from the annotation of a GenBank genome assembly. Lineage: Eukaryota; Fungi; Basidiomycota; Agaricomycetes; Agaricales; Mycenaceae.